AUACUUUGUAUAUUAAAGUUGCCCAAUUUACGUUAAAAUAAAAGUUAAAUUGUUUUCAGUGAAAGUUAAAUUUCUUGGUUAAAAGUUUUAUCCGUUUUCAUUGAGUGUAGAUUUAAAAGUACAACUUUUUGAUAAGAAAACUGUUGAAUUGUCAAUCCACCCAGUAUCCUUUUAAGUCAAUGACAAACAACAACAAUAGAAGUUGUCAACUUGCUUUCUUUUUUGCACGAGUUUGUGUGCAGUAAAAAUUCUGGCUUCGGCUCCUAAAUCUUGUUAGCUGCUGAUACAAAAUAAUCAGUUCCCCAGAAUUUUUCGUGCGACGUUGCAAUAAGUAAAGGCACCCACUCUACGGCCAUGGCGCAAACAACCAGAAAAACACCAAGGAGAGAUCAGAUUCGGCUCGGGAUUUUUGACUGGAAGAACGACUAUGGCGCGAUAAACGGCAUUUUGAGGACAUCCGCAUGUGUCCGCGUCAACUCAAAUUAAUUAAUAAAGUUGAAGUUCAAAAUAAAUAUAUAAUAACAUAAAAUCUAAAA
Armigeres subalbatus is the source of this 536-nucleotide long non-coding RNA. RefSeq lists it as uncharacterized. The record is from RefSeq and is a predicted model, not a curated record. The transcript is spliced from 3 exons. Lineage: Eukaryota; Metazoa; Arthropoda; Insecta; Diptera; Culicidae.